AUUGAACGCUGGCGGCAGGCCUAACACAUGCAAGUCGAACGGUAACAGGAAGCAGCUUGCUGCUUUGCUGACGAGUGGCGGACGGGAGAGUAAUGUCUGGGAAACUGCCUGAUGGAGGGGGAUAACUACUGGAAACGGUAGCUAAUACCGCAUAACGUCGCAAGACCAAAGAGGGGGACCUUCUGGCCUCUUGCCAUCGGAUGUGCCCAGAUGGGAUUAGCUAGUAGGUGGGGUAACGGCUCACCUAGGCGACGAUCCCUAGCUGGUCUGAGAGGAUGACCCGCCACACUGGAACUGAGACACGGUCCAGACUCCUACGGGAGGCAGCAGUGGGGAAUAUUGCACAAAGGGCGCAAGCCUGAUGCAGCCAUGCCGCGUGUAUGAAGAAGGCCUUCGGGUUGUAAAGUACUUUCAGCGGGGAGGAAGGGAGUAAAGUUAAUACCUUUGCUCAUUGACGUUACCCGCAGAAGAAGCACCGGCUAACUCCGUG
RNAcentral lists this ribosomal RNA (490 nucleotides) under uncultured bacterium. Its description in RNAcentral is "partial 16S ribosomal RNA". It matches the Rfam family "Bacterial small subunit ribosomal RNA", at positions 30 to 507 of the family's 1533-position model. The record is from RNAcentral.